UCGAUUUGAGAAAACAAAAAGCGAAAUAAUCUCUUCUUCUGCUUCUGCGAAGACGACGAUGAUCCAUCCAUGUCGAGACGAUGAUAAGCCACUCUCUCUCUCUCUCAGUCCUCCAUCAUCACUCGAUAGAAACCCUAAUCCGCGAGACCCUAAGAUCUAAAAUCUAAAAACCCUAAAAUCUCUCUACGGAUCGGAGCGAAGCAUCUCAGGGUUUCAGCCACCGCCUACUCCGCCCUUCUUCUCUGGUUCGUCCCCCUUCUUCUCCUUCGGUUUCCCCUCUCUCUCUCUCUCGUAGACUCGUAGUCUUCUAGGGUUCCGAGCCAAGGAGAUGGCCUUGUUUUUCAAUCGGGCUCUUAAUUAAGCUCUUAACAGAGGAUCUCUCCGGUGUUCUUUGCUGUGGGAUCUUCUCUCUUCCAAAGCGUGGGUGCGGAUCACACACAGCAGGAGAUGGUUUUUAAGAAUGGACAAGUCUCAUAACCAAAAUUUGUCAUCUUAAUCUGAUUUACGAGUAUCAUCAAGUCAACCUACAGGAGAAGGUGGUCUUAUUUGCGCUUUGCCCAAACAGACAAUAUGAUUGACACGGCAGGAUAAAGAGCCGUUUAGAAUCAGCUGUAGCUACAACACAGAGUCGUCUGAGUGAACUUGGAGCAUCGUCUCCUUCCCCUUUUCUGAAAUCAAACCAGAACAGAUGUUUCCGCACUUUCUGAGGAGUGA
Molecule: non-coding RNA, 714 nt
Organism: Camelina sativa (false flax)
Lineage: Eukaryota; Viridiplantae; Streptophyta; Magnoliopsida; Brassicales; Brassicaceae
Source: RefSeq, a predicted model, not a curated record